Long non-coding RNA from Haliotis rubra (blacklip abalone), 1628 nucleotides. RefSeq lists it as uncharacterized. The transcript is spliced from 2 exons. Lineage: Eukaryota; Metazoa; Mollusca; Gastropoda; Lepetellida; Haliotidae. The record is from RefSeq and is a predicted model, not a curated record.
CUGAAAUAUUGCUAAAAGCGGCAUAAAGCCAAACUCAUUCACAUAUGACAUAACUGAAGUUCAAUGCAGGUGAAGUUCUUCUCACUCUACAUAAAAUAGGUACAUGUAGAGUAAUGCAAAAUAAAAUGAACUCAUCCAACAGCAUUAGUAACACAUUUGAGAUAGUCAACAAGUAUAUGCCAGGAAAUAACAACUUUGGUAUUUGAUAUAGAAAUUUAAACUUUUUAUGAAGUGCAAUAUUACAAAAUAAAAACCAAAAACUCUGGAGAAUAACCAGUCUUGGUCAUCUGAUGAAACAGGUUCCAUAGAAGGCAACAUAGUGUUGAAAUGUAUAUGAAUAUAUACCAGUAGUUGAUAAAUAUAAAUUUUGACCUGAAUCUUGAACUUACUAAGACUGGCAAAUGGCCUGAGACAAGGGGAGUGAGGAGAUAGACCUUUGUUUGUCUGAAUUAGGUCUGAUAUACUUAGUUGCCUUAUGGGUACUGUCAAGUAGGAAUUCCAGGUUAGAAAAAGACCCAUCAACUUAUGCUUGUCAAGGGACACAUUGCCUAUAUAUUGCUCAGCCCUGUGUUAAACACCAACUCUGAGAUACACCUAUGCCAUGGCUCUAUUUACUUGAGAGAAAACUGUAACCUGUACUCGGACCUUCCAAACAAUAUAACCUUGACCAUCACCAAACAUGGUUGCAACUGGUUGAACAAGUAAUCAUUUCGUGAAAAUAUUUUGUCAACAAAGGUUAUGAUAAUUCCUGGGUAUAAUAUUUUUUAAAGUUAAUUUCAAGUGAAUUUUAUCUCUAAGUCUUUGAGCUUAAACUUUUCUCAAACCAAAGAAAAUCAAAUAUGAAAAACAUUUAUUACAACUGCUUAACAUUUUUUUUCACAAAGUGCUUCUUAAAUCAAAAUGAAACUCGAAGUAUUAACUUUUCCUUGAGUCGUGUAAAUAUUCAGCAAUACUCACAUUCUAAUAAUGUUAAUACCUACAGUUUUAAGUAACUAAUAUCCCAAGUACAGGUAGAUGCUUUCAUCCAAAGCUUAUUGCUUUAGAAAUGACAGCAUUGCUAACCAGUGUGUGUGAUGAAUGUCCUCCCUAAUACCUAAUAUAUCUGGAGACUGUAUUUCCCUGUGGUGGCCUUGUUUACACAGCCUGGUGUUGACAGUAUGUUAGAUACAAUGUAAACAACUUGUGAUGAUAUAUGUGAUCUUCCUCUCAGUCCACAUUUACCCACACAUGUAUUAUCAGACUGCCUGUGGGGUGGUGGGGUAGCCUAGUGGUUAAAGCGUUGGCUCGUCACGCCGAAGACCCGGGUUCGAAUCCCCACAUGGGUACAAUGUGUGAAGCUCAUUUCUGGUGUCCCCAGCCGUGAUGUUGCUGGAAUAUUGCUAAAACAGCGUAAAACCAAACUCAGUCAGUCAGAAUGCCUGCAUUAUACCUCGCGUUUGUCCCCACACACCAUCUGGGGUAUGUGUUGAUGAACACGGUGACUGACUGUUUCUAACAGCUGUGAAAAAAAACUUAUUUUUCUGUACACCUUUAGGUAAAUUGAUAUUAAUUUGUAUGUACAGAUAAUAAGAUGUGAUCGAGUUGUUCAUUAAAUUAUGUUUAAUGUAAUGAAGCACUGUGAAUUCAGA